RNAcentral lists this ribosomal RNA (327 nucleotides) under Salmonella enterica subsp. enterica serovar Kiambu. RNAcentral describes it as "partial 23S ribosomal RNA". It matches the Rfam family "Bacterial large subunit ribosomal RNA", at positions 739 to 1063 of the family's 2925-position model. Lineage: Bacteria; Pseudomonadati; Pseudomonadota; Gammaproteobacteria; Enterobacterales; Enterobacteriaceae. The record is from RNAcentral.
GGCAGGUUGAAGGUUGGGUAACACUAACUGGAGGACCGAACCGACUAAUGUUGAAAAAUUAGCGGAUGACCUGUGGCUGGGGGUGAAAGGCCAAUCAAACCGGGAGAUAGCUGGUUCUCCCCGAAAGCUAUUUAGGUAGCGCCUCGUGAAUUCAUCUCCGGGGGUAGAGCACUGUUUCGGCUAGGGGGCCAUCCCGGCUUACCAACCCGAUGCAAACUGCGAAUACCGGAGAAUGUUAUCACGGGAGACACACGGCGGGUGCUAACGUCCGUCGUGAAGAGGGAAACAACCCAGACCGCCAGCUAAGGUCCCAAAGUCAUGGUUAAG